Molecule: ribosomal RNA, 726 nt
Filed under: uncultured bacterium
Lineage: Bacteria
Description: bacterial SSU rRNA
Rfam family: Bacterial small subunit ribosomal RNA
Source: RNAcentral
GGAAUUGCAUUGGAAACUGGAAGGCUUGAGUGCAGGAGAGGUAAGUGGAAAUUCCGGGUGUAGCGGUGAAAAUGCGUAGAGAUCGGGAGGAACAUCAGUGGCGAAGGCGACUUACUGGACUGUAACUGACGCUGAGGCGCGAAAGUGUGGGGAGCAAACAGGAUUAGAUACCCUGGUAGUCCACACGGUAAACGAUGAGUGCUAGGUGUAGGAGGUAUCGACCCCUUCUGUGCCGGAGUCAACACAAUAAGCACUCCGCCUGGGGAGUACGGCCGCUAGGUUGAAACUCAAAGGGAUUGACGCGGGCUCGCACAAGCAGCGGAUCAUGUUGUUUAAUUCGAAGCAACGCAACUAACCUUACCCUUGUCUUGACAUCCAAUAAAACGCAUCCGAUACGAUGUGUGUGUCCUGCCCAUACAGAGACGGGUGGUGCAUGUCCUCCUCGUCAUCUUCGUGUAAAGAAUAUGGUUGAGCUCACGUUACGCAACGCACCCCAUCCUUUGUUGAUAAUUAACCAUUGCGGCCUGGCUACUCCCAUCUAAAAAUGGACUUGCUGGGGUAUCACCUCCGCACGUACGGUAGGAACGUACAAUUCAAAUCAUGCACGCUACUGUACUGAGGUGUGACAACGGGAGCCUACAAGGGCGGCUGCCUACGAAUGUAUGCCACCCUUGCUUUAGUUAUUAACGUCGAGCGCGUCCUACAAAAGAUCGUUGCAUAAGUUUU